This is a long non-coding RNA of Salarias fasciatus (jewelled blenny), 509 nucleotides long. Lineage: Eukaryota; Metazoa; Chordata; Actinopteri; Blenniiformes; Blenniidae. The record is from Ensembl.
GAGACGAAGCGAGACGACGGCUGAAGUCAGACCUGUGGAAAUGUUUCUAUUUUACCUCUUUGUGCUUCAGUCUGCAGCAGUGGCGGCAUUUGUUCAGAGAGCAGGAGAGGACGUCACUCUGACUUGUGAAAAUAAGGUAGAGGGUCAACGGAACUGUAAUGGGACAAAGUGGAUCUAUUUUCCUGGAAACAGUUAUGUCGUGAAGCUGGUUGAAUUUGGGAAGAUUAAAGACUACAGUGACAUAACAUCAGACAGAAUGAGAGUUGCAGCAGAUUGCUCUCUGAUUCUGAGGAAAGUCACAGAAAAACAAGUUGGUCAUUAUUAUUGUGGACAAUUCAAAUCAGACAGUUCAAAGCAACCCGUUCUAGUUAGCUGGUCUUUCGUGGAUCUGUCUGUCGUCAACAUCGUGACUGAACAUGACUCCGAUGACGAGGAGACACUGAAAUGCUUCGUGACGUCUAUACAGGAAAACUGUGAACUGGAAGUGAAGUGGACGAUCAAAGAUCAAG